RNAcentral lists this ribosomal RNA (309 nucleotides) under uncultured eukaryote. Its description in RNAcentral is "partial 18S ribosomal RNA". It matches the Rfam family "Eukaryotic small subunit ribosomal RNA", at positions 1470 to 1796 of the family's 1831-position model. The record is from RNAcentral.
CCCUUAGAUGUUCUGGGCUGCACGCGUGCCACACUGAUUACUUCAACAAGUGUUUUAACUGGAGAGUUCGCGUAAUCCUGAAAUGUUAUCGUGAUGGGAGUAGAGUAUUGUAUUGUUAAUCUUUAACGAGGAAUUCCUAGUAAGUGUAGGUUUAUAAGUUGUUCUGAUUACGUCCCUGCCCUUUGUACACACCGCCCGUCGCUCCUACCGAUUGAUUGAUCCGGUGAAUUACAUAGAAUUUUGCGUUUUACAUGACGGAAGAUGAAGUGUUUUAAACCUUAUCGUUUAGAGGAAGGAGAAGUCGUAACA